This 460-nucleotide ribosomal RNA is filed under the name uncultured bacterium. RNAcentral describes it as "partial 16S ribosomal RNA". It matches the Rfam family "Bacterial small subunit ribosomal RNA", at positions 338 to 795 of the family's 1533-position model. The record is from RNAcentral.
CCUACGGGUGACAGCAGUGAGGAAUAUUGGUCAAUGGGCGCUAGUCUGAACCAGCCAAGUAGCGUGAAGGAUGACUGCCCUAUGGGUUGUAAACUUCUUUUAUAAAGGAAUAAAACGAGGCACGUAUGCCUUUUUGCAUGUACUUUAUGAAUAAGGAUCGGCUAACUCCGUGCCAGCAGCCGCGGUAAUACGGAGGAUCCGAGCGUUAUCCGGAUUUAUUGGGUUUAAAGGGAGCGUAGAUGGGUUGUUAAGUCAGUUGUGAAAGUUUGCGGCUCAACCGUAAAAUUGCAAUUGAUACUGGCAGUCGUGAGUACAGUUGAGGUAGGCGGAAUUCGUGGUGUAGCGGUGAAAUGCUUAGAUAUCACGAAGAACCCCGAUUGCGAAGGCAGCUUACUAAACUGUAACUGACACUGAUGCUCGAAAGUGUGGGUAUCAAACAGGAUUAGAUACCCCUGUAGUC